RNA transcript from Cheilinus undulatus (humphead wrasse), 4342 nucleotides. It is a transcript of the gene named DENN domain containing 10, with no coding region annotated. NCBI's taxonomy places the organism in Eukaryota, Metazoa, Chordata, Actinopteri, Labriformes, Labridae. The transcript is spliced from 11 exons. The record is from RefSeq and is a predicted model, not a curated record.
CAGGAAGUAAAGUCUGUUGACAGCAGAAAUCUAACCCAGACCACCGACAAGUCUGGACGUUUUCAGUCUUUUAUUUUAUAUAUUAUCAUAAGCUGUGCAUUAUUAUCUUAGACCGAGGCUAGAGCUCUCAAGGCAUGGAACAUGGCAGCAACUGAAACACAGCUUAUGUUAAGCGUCGGAUUAAUCGAGAAAGAUGUGAAUGGAGAUACCCUGUGGGUGUGGUGCUAUCCCUCUGUGAGCUCAGACCUGAGACAAGUCCUGCUCAGUAAGUGCUGUCUGACGCAGGACAGUCGAGAUUUCCACACCUUUGUCUUUGGCCAGUUCUGGCGUACCUGGUACUACAUCACCACAGUGGAGGUACAGGAACCCACGGCGCUGAACAAGGUCACUCAUUUUUCAAUAGUUGUUACUGCAAAAGACUUCAACCCUGAGAAGUAUGCUGCUCUCAGCAGAGUUCUCUGCAGGAUGUACAUCAAACAUGGCAGUCCAGUGAAAAUGAUGGAGGCAUACGUCACUGUACUUACUAAAGGCAUCUGUCAGAGUGAUGAAAACGGCUCAUUUCUUAUCAAAGAUUAUGAUAUUCGAAAAGCAUACUUGGCUGGAUCACUCAGAGACGUGGUGUCUCAGUUUGGCAUGGAGACGAUCAUUCUUUAUACAGCACUCAUGCUGAAGAAGAGGAUCAUAGUCCAUCAUCCUCGUAUUGAAGCAUUGUUGGAGUUCACAAGGGUUCUUCCCUGUUUGACAUGGCACAGGAAAGACUGGUCCAUCCUUCACCCAUAUGUGCAUCUGACUGAUAUUGAGUUAGAGGAUCUCAAGAAAUGCCCUGGAUAUGUAGCAGGAUUUGUAGAUCCUGAAGUGAGCAACAGAUCAGACUUGUUUGAUGUGUAUGUGAACCUCCCAGACAGCACCAUCACAGUAUCCCAGAGUGCCAAAGAGGCCAUGGCUAUGGGAAAGUUACACAAGGACAUCGGCCAUCUGAUCGUUCAGUCUGCAGACGAUGGAGAGCGGUCAGACAGUCAGGUCAUCAAGGACAUUUCUGUCAAGACGAAAGAGAUCCUUGCCAACUUGGUGGCUCUGGCUGACGAGUGUGAAGACUCUAAAAUCACAUUAGAACGUUUAAAGCAGCAUCAUUUCCCUCCGGCCACAGAGAACUUCCUCUUUCAUUUGGCAGCUGCCGAGCAGCUCUUGCGGGUCUAAACCAGUUUAAUCAGACAGAACACUGCAGGAAGAGGAGAUUCACUGCACAUUCAUUUACAUUGAGGGAUGAUUUUUGUUCUCUAAAUUCAUGUGCACACCCAUGAUUAACACAGCUGUGCAGAGGGCACUCUCGCAGCGACCUUCAUGCCAGACUGGACUGCUCCUCCAGUCUUCUGCUGUCCAGUUUGGUGAGCCUGUAUGAACUGCAGCCCGGGUUUACUCUUCUUAGCGGACAGGAGUGUUGUACUCAAGACCGACUUACCUAAGACCAGAGUGCACCCAGACCAAGACAAGACCAAGACUUUUUCGGGUCGAGACUGAGAAAGACAGAGCAUAAAAAUCCACUUUAAAAAAACCUGAAAAGGUUGAGCAGUUUAAGAGCAUUCGCUCUUUAAUUUUCUUUUUUUUUUUUAAUAAACUUGACGGAUAAAAAAAAGGAGUCUGCAACUCUUUCAAAGCACAACAUGCAAAGAUCUAAAAUCUUAACUAAUUUCUUCAACUAAUUUCCUAUAGAAAAUAAAUCCUUGUAUGUAUUUUAAAGCCACUGACAAGUCCAGAAUUAUUUUAAAUAUCUGAAAAUGAGAUGUGUAUCCAGAUUUGUCAGGUGAAUGAGGCCUAAAGUAAGUGUUCAGAGAUACUUGUGACCAGAAAUAAGAUGGACUGAUAUCCGAGUCUUUGCAGGUGUAGCUAUUUGUUGUUUGUUAGUAAGUGCUUCUCCUGAUUAUCACAUUAAUGAAGAAGAAAAGCAGAUCCGUGCUGGCCUCCACUAGUCUCAAUGGAAAAUCCAAAGUCUGGCCAGUCCAAGACCGAGUAAAAAUGCUCUGGAGUCCAAGACAUUCAAAAUGUGGUCUUGGGACUGGUCUCAAGACCAAGACCGUUCUCGAGUACUACAACACUAGCAGACUGGAGUAUCACCUGUGGUCUUCUGCUGGAAUCACCUGUCAGCUGGAAAAUAACAUAUUUCUUAUAUUUCUGUAAUUGAUAAGCUAUUUUGUGUAUUUAUACUUUCUGAGUAGCUUUUAGAAUCAGUAAAUUUAUUUUUUUCUAUCGUAAAUUUUAAGGGUGAUAUUGUAAUAUUAAAAAGCAUCCAUUAUUGAGUAAAAAUAAACACUUUAAGGAGGUCUAAGCCCUCUGUUAGUGACAUGAAACUGGCCAGUGAUUUGGCUUUGAUAAGGCCAGGUGGCAAAUAACAACAGAAAAAUUCCACAUUGCAUAUAAAAAAUAGCUUUUGUAUUUUACUUAAUUGUAAAAAAACGCCUUUACUAAAAUACCUGGUUGGAGAUUUUCUAUCAUCUUGUUACUGCACAUAAAGGAAAGAUCAUAUUUUACUGGUUGUACAUGGGCAUGAUAAGCAGCGACUCAGUAGUCAGAGCUUUGAGUAAUUUAAAUUGAUUAGUCUUUAUUUUAACAUGAGUGGAUUUAUAAACAAUACUUUAACAUCUGCAUAGCUGAAAUGUAUCCACUUUUACUGAAGUACAAUAGACAUGUACUCUUUCCACCUUUUUCUUAAUGAGCUCCUUGUUCAGAGAUGCUCUUCUGCAUACUAGGAUUAUUGUUGAGUGGUUAUAGGAGUUGGUGUUACUUUUCUUUCAGCUCGAACCAGUCUGCUCAUUCUCCUCGGACCUCUGCCAUCAACAUUCAGGCCCAUAGAAGUGCUGCUUACUGGUUUUUUUUUUUUUAAUUUCAGAUCAUUCUCUGCAAAACUAAGAGAUUACUAAUCCUAGUCUGUCUGUCACUACCAUCUAUGUCAUGUUCAAAGUUACUUAAAUGUAGGGCUGGAAAGUAGAUAGUUGUAUUUACUUGUGCUAAUGUAAAAGAGGAGCUCUUUUAGGUACUACUUUUUAAAAUCAGUCAUUUUAAGUAAGUAUAUGAACUAGCCACAAAGCCAAAAGGAGGAGGGCUGAGCUGACUGGCAACAGCAUGAAACUGGCCGGCUGUUCAACUUUGAAAACACGUGAUGGUCAGCGGCACAUGGAAUGAUUCCACAUUUCAUCCUGUAACGACUACUUUAGGGUAAGGAACACGUUAUAAUAAACAGCUUGGCUGCAGAUUCAUACACUCUUGCUCUUCUUGCACAUUAAGGAAAGAUCAUAUUUUAGUGUUCAAGCUCCUCACGUAUCAAAAGUAGCCUCUCAGUACUUUGACUCAAAUUUAAAUUACUUUUUACUGAGAGAGAUUUAUAGACAGGUGCGUUUACUUCUGCUUAAAUCAUUUUUAACUAAUGAAGUGUACUUUUACGUGAGUGUGACCACCUUUCUGUCCCAUUCUGAUGCUCAGUUAGAACCUCGGUACAUCAUCUUGGCCAUGUCUUCAUACCUGAAUGCACUGGUAGCUGCUGUGAUUGGCUGAUUAGGUGCUUGCUUAAUGAACAGUUGAACAGGUGUCAGUGUUGGAACUUAACUUUUUCAUGUACCUGCCAUUUUGGCUAGUGGAUUCAAAGAUCUACAAUCCAUGUUUUUACCAGCCACUCCUUAUUUAAUGAGGCUAUAGUAGUCAAGUUACAGGCCUUUGAAGGGGGGGGGAGUUUUUGAAAAACUAAUCCAAACUGUAACUCAUUUUAAACCUUGUUUUUCGGUUUGCCCUGCAUUUGAUCAUGCAAAUGUUUGCUGUGCUUCUUACAGGGGCACUGUACAUUCAUAGGCAUUUUCCUGCAAUUGCAAGUUUUAGACUCUCUAGAAUUUUUUUUCUGCACAUUUCCUGCAGUCUCAAGUCAAAAUUCAGGCUUUGUUGAACUUUUUUGGAAAAGCAUGACACUGGUUCGAACACACCUUGAGCAGAUAUGCUAGUUGAACUUCUCUCACAUGAUACUGACUCAACAAUCCUGGCACACAGCUACCUUUAAACAUUUGACAAUAGCUCAGACGCAGGGGAGAGGAGGCUGGUUUUGUUGGUCAGUGACAGUGUGUAGGUCUGCUCAGCUUUGCUCACAAGGUCAGGAAAAAGGGGUUUCAUUUGUCGUUUGAUGUAACAGAGCAGAAUCGGGCUGAACAGCGGCACAGGGAUUUGGGCUGUUGCCCCUCAGCAAGAAGGUUCCUGGUUCGCUUCCCGGUCAGGGCCUUUCUGUGCAUGCGUGGGUUCUCUCCAGGUACUCCGGCUUCCUCCCACCACCAAAAACAUGCUCCUUAGGUUAAUUGGUGACUCUAAA